UACGUAGGGGGCAAGCGUUAUCCGGAUUUACUGGGUGUAAAGGGAGCGUAGACGGCAGGGCAAGUCUGGAGUGAAAGGCAGGGGCCCAACCCCUGGACUGCUCUGGAAACUGUCCGGCUGGAGUGCAGGAGAGGUAAGUGGAAUUCCUAGUGUAGCGGUGAAAUGCGUAGAUAUUAGGAGGAACACCAGUGGCGAAGGCGGCCUGCUGGACAGAAACUGACGUUGAGGCUCGAAAGCGUGGGGAGCAAACAGG
This 253-nucleotide ribosomal RNA is filed under the name uncultured bacterium. RNAcentral's name for it is "partial 16S ribosomal RNA". It matches the Rfam family "Bacterial small subunit ribosomal RNA", at positions 524 to 776 of the family's 1533-position model. The record is from RNAcentral.